AUGCCUACAGUACUGACAGGUGGGUCUGUCCCUUCACAAUCAACCUCAGUACAUUUUAGUCACCAGAACAAACGUCUCAGUUUUGGCACAACAGGAAAUCCUACUUCCCACUCUAUGGAUAAUAAAGAUGACUGCCUAAAUGGGUCAUCGCCAAACUGCCCUCUACUUCCUAAAUACGUUUUGACAAGUAGCAGAGAAAUUGACAAGAUAACAAGACGCCGGUGUAGAGCGCCGGCUACAAGACGCCGGACAAGAUGCCGGACAAGACGCCAGAUAAGACACCAGACAAGACGCCGGUGUAGAGCGCCGGCUACAAGACGCCGGACAAGAUGCCGGACAAGACGCCAGACAAGACACCAGACAAGACGCCGGUGUAGAGUGCCGGCUACAAGACGCCGGACAAGACGCCGGACAAGACGCCGGACAAGACGCCAGACAAGACACCAGACAAGACGCCGGUGUAGAGUGCCGGCUACAAGACGCCGGACAAGAUGCCGGACAAGACGCCAGACAAGACACCAGACAAGACGCCGGUGUAGAGUGCCGGCUACAAGACGCCGGACAAGAUCCCAGACAAGACGCCAGACAAGACACCAGACAAGACGCCGGUGUAGAGUGCCGGCUACAAGACGCCGGACAAGACGCCGGACAAGACACCAGACAAGACGCCGGUGUAGAGUGCCGGCUACAAGACGCCGGACAAGACGCCGGUGUAGAGUGCCAGCUACAAGACGCCGGUGUAGAGUGCCAGCUACAAGACGCCGGUGUAGAGUGCCAGCUACAAGACGCCGGUGUAGAGUGCCAGCUACAAGACGCCGGUGUAGAGUGCCGGCUACAAGACGCCGGACAAGACGCCGGACAAGACGCCGGUGUAGAGUGCCAGCUACAAGACGCCGGUGUAGAGUGCCAGCUACAAGACGCCGGUGUAGAGUGCCAGCUACAAGACGCUGGUGUAGAGUGCCAGCUACAAGACGCCGGACAAGACGCCGGUGUAGAGUGCCAGCUACAAGACGCCGGUGUAGAGUGCCAGCUACAAGACGCCGGUGUAGAGUGCCGGCUACAAGACGCCGGUGUAGAGUGCCGGCUACAAGACGCCGGUGUAGAGUGCCGGCUUUUAUUUAA
RNAcentral lists this long non-coding RNA (1122 nucleotides) under Oncorhynchus mykiss (rainbow trout). RNAcentral describes it as "lncRNA (ENSOMYG00000049295.1)". Lineage: Eukaryota; Metazoa; Chordata; Actinopteri; Salmoniformes; Salmonidae. The record is from RNAcentral.